RNAcentral lists this ribosomal RNA (253 nucleotides) under uncultured bacterium. RNAcentral's name for it is "partial 16S ribosomal RNA". It matches the Rfam family "Bacterial small subunit ribosomal RNA", at positions 524 to 776 of the family's 1533-position model. The record is from RNAcentral.
UACGGAGGAUGCAAGCGUUAUCCGGAAUGAUUGGGCGUAAAGCGUCCGCAGGUGGCUAUGUAAGUCUGCUGUUAAAGAGUGAGGCUCAACCUCAUAAGAGCAGUGGAAACUACAUGGCUAGAGUGCGUUCGGGGCAGAGGGAAUUCCUGGUGUAGCGGUGAAAUGCGUAGAUAUCAGGAGGAACACCGGUGGCGAAGGCGGCAUCCUGGACCGACACUGACGCUGAGGAGCGAAAGCCAGGGGAGCAAACGGG